GUAAGAAGAGAUCUCCACCCUUGG
This 24-nucleotide microRNA is filed under the name Cynara cardunculus (cardoon). RNAcentral describes it as "cca-miR6108e-5p". Lineage: Eukaryota; Viridiplantae; Streptophyta; Magnoliopsida; Asterales; Asteraceae. The record is from miRBase by way of RNAcentral.